GCAAACUUGGCCGAGUGGGUCUAAGGCGCCAGGUUCGUCUUACUUUAACCAAAAGUAAUUUUGAAUUGAAUACUAACAUUUCAUUAAAGACUUAAGAUAUUUCUCAUGAGUUCUGGUCACGAAAGUGGCGUGGGUUCGAACCCCACAGUUUGCA
Molecule: transfer RNA, 154 nt
Filed under: Penicillium griseofulvum
Lineage: Eukaryota; Fungi; Ascomycota; Eurotiomycetes; Eurotiales; Aspergillaceae
Rfam family: tRNA
About the family: Transfer RNA (tRNA) molecules are approximately 80 nucleotides in length. Their secondary structure includes four short double-helical elements and three loops (D, anti-codon, and T loops).
Source: Rfam by way of RNAcentral